GUCUGAUGUUUCGGAUUUUAGCUUGUUUCGGUUAAAGCCGGCUUGUUUGUGCUUUGCUGCUUUUACGUUAACUAUGUGAUGAUUUACUGUGAAAUGAUGGAUUAAAAUUUGGUUUCAUUGUCAAAUCUGAUAAAUAAAAAAAGGCAUGGUUUCGUUGUGAAAUCUGAUAAAUAAAUAAAAAGCAUGGUUUCAUUGUGAAUGGGUUGACGUCACUAUAAUGUAACAUUUUGAAUUACUAGUUUUGUGUUGUUUGUUCUAGAAAUGAGUUUUUAAUGUAUUGCAAUUUUUUUUUUUGGUCCGGUUCAAUUUUUGUGGUCUGUUGGUUGGUUUCCUAGUUUCACAAUUAGGAUUCUGGUUGAGAACAUUAUGUAAACAAGGGAAUUAUUUUGCUCUUCUGCUGUGAGUUAAGUUUUAAGUUGAGUUAUGGUGGUAAUCUGUUGCAUAAUAUGUUAGCAUCAGAUAGUGAUUAUAAAAUGUUCUGAAUCCAUUUAUUUUUCUUCUCACAAAUUUUGUCCCAACUCUCGUAGUUCAAUGCACACAGUUGCAUGUAUUUAGUUUUUUGAGUCCUGAUGAAAAAAGGCAGGCCUUUGUUCCCAUAUGUGAACUGGGCUCUCAUAAACUUCAGGUAGAUCACUUACAUUGUUUUUGGGUGAACCUCUGUACGUGCAUCAGUUGCAUGUGACUUAAGGUUCAGUAAAUGAUGGAACAUUUGCGCGUAUGAAAUAUUAUUAGUUUUUUGAAACCUGAUUAUAAAAGCAGGGCUUAGUUGCCUUAUGUGAACUGAGCUCCCGUAAACUUCAGGGACAUUAACUGCAUUGUUUUUGGGUGAACCUUUGUACGUGCAUCAGUUGCAUGUGACUUAAGGUUCAGUAAAUGAUGGCACAUUUGCA
RNAcentral lists this long non-coding RNA (890 nucleotides) under Prunus dulcis (almond). Its description in RNAcentral is "sRNA ncRNA". The stretch from base 750 to 887 matches the Rfam family "Small nucleolar RNA snoR74". Lineage: Eukaryota; Viridiplantae; Streptophyta; Magnoliopsida; Rosales; Rosaceae. The record is from RNAcentral.